GGCUGAGGCCAUGACUUCCAUGCCCUGGGUAAGAUGUCAGUGAUCGGACUGUGUGGCUGUGGGAUGUGGACAGGAACUGAGGGACAAUUUUUCUGGAGGCAGGUGCCUGACCCGUCAGCUGGUGUGUGUGGUGUGUGUGUUUGGUACGGAGACGCCCAAGAUGGAGGAGGUUGCAGGCUUGUGACAGGCCUUGUGAGAGACGGCUCAUUUUCUUGCAGAACUGCAGCUGCAGAUGAGAGCCAGCUGUGGAGCCUUCCCUGAGAACCAAAGGCUGCUAAGGACAGAUGGGAUCUACUUGGAAAAGGAAGGAACAAGAGCACCUAUGCUAGCUGACUGCCAGCCUGGUGAAGGGAGCUUGCAACUAGGAGAGAUGAUAGGGAGAUUACAGACCACCUGUAGUGGAAACGCUGAGUCACAGCUUGAAACAAUAAUUGAACACCUGGUAGGAAGGCGGGGCCAACCCAGAGGAGCUCAGGUGCAAGCAAUUCAUCUGAGUGAUGAAAGGUGUGGAGCCAGGAUUAACCUCUUCCCAGACCUCAUUUAAGAGUUGGCAGGGGAUUAUGAAGGUUUUUCUUCUACUGCAUUCCUGCUAACCUGAGAACUUUAUAGGCCUUCCAAAGGUAAGCAGCUUCUUUCUCUUAUUUUUGUGCCUGUUGCUGUCUUAUCUGAAUAGAUCUAUAUUUGCUGCAGUAUGUGAUCUUACUCCUCAGUUGUCUUGUUGCACUUUCCAUUGUGUUACAUCACUGCUAAGGUAGUUAGUAGACAGAGAUAGAAAAUGAAUGGUGCAGGACUAUGGGCAUGAAAAAGACCUCAGAAAACAUAAAGCAGAGUGGAAAGAAGCCUG
RNAcentral lists this long non-coding RNA (844 nucleotides) under Phasianus colchicus (ring-necked pheasant). RNAcentral's name for it is "lncRNA (ENSPCLG00000016379.1)". Lineage: Eukaryota; Metazoa; Chordata; Aves; Galliformes; Phasianidae. The record is from RNAcentral.